GACGAGCCACACGAACGUUAUCCGGAUUUACUGGGCGUAAAGGGUGUGCAGGCUGCCCCUCAAGUGGUGUAUGAAAGGGCUCGGCUCAACCGGGCUAGGUUAUGCCAGACUGAGGGGCUAGAGAGCGAGAGCGGGACGUGGAAUUCCGGGUGUAGUGGUGAAAUGCGUAGAGAUCCGGAGGAACCCCAGAGGCGAGGGCGGCGUCCUGGCUCGCAUCUGACGCUCAGACACGACAGCAUGGGGAGCGAACGGG
Molecule: ribosomal RNA, 253 nt
Filed under: uncultured bacterium
Lineage: Bacteria
Description: partial 16S ribosomal RNA
Rfam family: Bacterial small subunit ribosomal RNA
Source: RNAcentral